ACCGGGAGCGCGGCGUCUCCUGUAAUCCGGCGACACGGAGGUCGGGAACGGAGGAUAGUUUGAGGUCGGGAGCUCUGGCGCGUGGACCCAUGUAGACUGGACGUCCGCAUUGAGCCCGGCAUCGGCAUGGGCAGCCCGGGGGAGUCCGGGCGGGCCAGGUUGACUAAGGAGGGGCGGACAGGGCCAGGGGGGAGACCCAGCAGCCAAGAGUCCCCGUGUCGGGCGGUAGUGGGACAGCGGCCGGGAGUGGGACUCACAGCGUCAGCCAGACCAACAUAACUAGACACCCUUCCUUU
This 296-nucleotide signal recognition particle RNA is filed under the name Papilio xuthus (Asian swallowtail). Its description in RNAcentral is "Metazoan signal recognition particle RNA". It matches the Rfam family "Metazoan signal recognition particle RNA". From Rfam's summary of the family: The signal recognition particle (SRP) is a universally conserved ribonucleoprotein. The record is from Rfam by way of RNAcentral. Lineage: Eukaryota; Metazoa; Arthropoda; Insecta; Lepidoptera; Papilionidae.